AGCGAGAGAGAGCUUGCUUUCUCGAGCGAGUGGCGAACGGGUGAGUAACGCGUGAGGAACCUGCCUCAAAGAGGGGGACAACAGUUGGAAACGACUGCUAAUACCGCAUAAGCCCACGGGUCGGCAUCGACCAGAGGGAAAAGGAGCAAUCCGCUUUGAGAUGGCCUCGCGUCCGAUUAGCUAGUUGGUGAGGUAAUGGCCCACCAAGGCGACGAUCGGUAGCCGGACUGAGAGGUUGAACGGCCACAUUGGGACUGAGACACGGCCCAGACUCCUACGGGAGGCAGCAGUGGGGAAUAUUGCACAAUGGGGGAAACCCUGAUGCAGCGACGCCGCGUGGAGGAAGAAGGUCUUCGGAUUGUAAACUCCUGUUGUUGGGGAAGAUAAUGACGGUACCCAACAAGGAAGUGACGGCUAACUACGUGCCAGCAGCCGCGGUAAAACGUAGGUCACAAGCGUUGUCCGGAAUUACUGGGUGUAAAGGGAGCGCAGGCGGGAAGACAAGUUGGAAGUGAAAUCUAUGGGCUCAACCCAUAAACUGCUUUCAAAACUGUUUUUCUUGAGUAGUGCAGAGGUAGGCGGAAUUCCCGGUGUAGCGGUGGAAUGCGUAGAUAUCGGGAGGAACACCAGUGGCGAAGGCGGCCUACUGGGCACCAACUGACGCUGAGGCUCGAAAGUGUGGGUAGCAAACAGGAUUAGAUACCCUGGUAGUCCACACCGUAAACGAUGAUUACUAGGUGUUGGAGGAUUGACCCCUUCAGUGCCGCAGUUAACACAAUAAGUAAUCC
This 788-nucleotide ribosomal RNA is filed under the name uncultured bacterium. RNAcentral's name for it is "bacterial SSU rRNA". It matches the Rfam family "Bacterial small subunit ribosomal RNA", at positions 65 to 870 of the family's 1533-position model. The record is from RNAcentral.